UACGAAGGGGGCUAGCGUUGCUCGGAAUCACUGGGCGUAAAGCGCACGUAGGCGGCUUCUUAAGUCAGGGGUGAAAUCCUGGAGCUCAACUCCAGAACUGCCUUUGAUACUGAAGAUCUUGAGUUCGGGAGAGGUGAGUGGAACUGCGAGUGUAGAGGUGAAAUUCGUAGAUAUUCGCAAGAACACCAGUGGCGAAGGCGGCUUACUGGUCCGGUUCUGACGCUGAGGCGCGAAAGCGUGGGGAGCAAACAGG
Molecule: ribosomal RNA, 253 nt
Filed under: uncultured bacterium
Lineage: Bacteria
Description: partial 16S ribosomal RNA
Rfam family: Bacterial small subunit ribosomal RNA
Source: RNAcentral